GGUUAAGCGACUAAGCGUACACGGUGGAUGCCCUGGCAGUCAGAGGCGAUGAAGGACGUGCUAAUCUGCGAUAAGCGUCGGUAAGGUGAUAUGAACCGUUAUAACCGGCGAUUUCCGAAUGGGGAAACCCAGUGUGUUUCGACACACUAUCAUUAACUGAAUCCAUAGGUUAAUGAGGCGAACCGGGGGAACUGAAACAUCUAAGUACCCCGAGGAAAAGAAAUCAACCGAGAUUCCCCCAGUAGCGGCGAGCGAACGGGGAGCAGCCCAGAGCCUGAAUCAGUAUGUGUGUUAGUGGAAGCGUCUGGAAAGGCGCGCGAUACAGGGUGACAGCCCCGUACACAAAAAUGCACAUAUUGUGAGCUCGAUGAGUAGGGCGGGACACGUGGUAUCCUGUCUGAAUAUGGGGGGACCAUCCUCCAAGGCUAAAUACUCCUGACUGACCGAUAGUGAACCAGUACCGUGAGGGAAAGGCGAAAAGAACCCCGGCGAGGGGAGUGAAAAAGAACCUGAAACCGUGUACGUACAAGCAGUGGGAGCACGCUUAGGCGUGUGACUGCGUACCUUUUGUAUAAUGGGUCAGCGACUUAUAUUCUGUAGCAAGGUUAACCGAAUAGGGGAGCCGAAGGGAAACCGAGUCUUAACUGGGCGUUAAGUUGCAGGGUAUAGACCCGAAACCCGGUGAUCUAGCCAUGGGCAGGUUGAAGGUUGGGUAACACUAACUGGAGGACCGAACCGACUAAUGUUGAAAAAUUAGCGGAUGACUUGUGGCUGGGGGUGAAAGGCCAAUCAAACCGGGAGAUAGCUGGUUCUCCCCGAAAGCUAUUUAGGUAGCGCCUCGUGAAUUCAUCUCCGGGGGUAGAGCACUGUUUCGGCAAGGGGGUCAUCCCGACUUACCAACCCGAUGCAAACUGCGAAUACCGGAGAAUGUUAUCACGGGAGACACACGGCGGGUGCUAACGUCCGUCGUGAAGAGGGAAACAACCCAGACCGCCAGCUAAGGUCCCAAAGUCAUGGUUAAGUGGGAAACGAUGUGGGAAGGCCCAGACAGCCAGGAUGUUGGCUUAGAAGCAGCCAUCAUUUAAAGAAAGCGUAAUAGCUCACUGGUCGAGUCGGCCUGCGCGGAAGAUGUAACGGGGCUAAACCAUGCACCGAAGCUGCGGCAGCGACGCUGAUGCGUUGUUGGGUAGGGGAGCGUUCUGUAAGCCUGCGAAGGUGUGCUGUGAGGCAUGCUGGAGGUAUCAGAAGUGCGAAUGCUGACAUAAGUAACGAUAAAGCGGGUGAAAAGCCCGCUCGCCGGAAGACCAAGGGUUCCUGUCCAACGUUAAUCGGGGCAGGGUGAGUCGACCCCUAAGGCGAGGCCGAAAGGCGUAGUCGAUGGGAAACAGGUUAAUAUUCCUGUACUUGGUGUUACUGCGAAGGGGGGACGGAGAAGGCUAUGUUGGCCGGGCGACGGUUGUCCCGGUUUAAGCGUGUAGGCUGGUUUUCCAGGCAAAUCCGGAAAAUCAAGGCUGAGGCGUGAUGACGAGGCACUACGGUGCUGAAGCAACAAAUGCCCUGCUUCCAGGAAAAGCCUCUAAGCAUCAGGUAACAUCAAAUCGUACCCCAAACCGACACAGGUGGUCAGGUAGAGAAUACCAAGGCGCUUGAGAGAACUCGGGUGAAGGAACUAGGCAAAAUGGUGCCGUAACUUCGGGAGAAGGCACGCUGAUAUGUAGGUGAAGUCCCUUGCGGAUGGAGCUGAAAUCAGUCGAAGAUACCAGCUGGCUGCAACUGUUUAUUAAAAACACAGCACUGUGCAAACACGAAAGUGGACGUAUACGGUGUGACGCCUGCCCGGUGCCGGAAGGUUAAUUGAUGGGGUCAGCGCAAGCGAAGCUCUUGAUCGAAGCCCCGGUAAACGGCGGCCGUAACUAUAACGGUCCUAAGGUAGCGAAAUUCCUUGUCGGGUAAGUUCCGACCUGCACGAAUGGCGUAAUGAUGGCCAGGCUGUCUCCACCCGAGACUCAGUGAAAUUGAACUCGCUGUGAAGAUGCAGUGUACCCGCGGCAAGACGGAAAGACCCCGUGAACCUUUACUAUAGCUUGACACUGAACAUUGAGCCUUGAUGUGUAGGAUAGGUGGGAGGCUUGGAAGUGUGGACGCCAGUCUGCAUGGAGCCGACCUUGAAAUACCACCCUUUAAUGUUUGAUGUUCUAACGUUGACCCGUAAUCCGGGUUGCGGACAGUGUCUGGUGGGUAGUUUGACUGGGGCGGUCUCCUCCUAAAGAGUAACGGAGGAGCACGAAGGUUGGCUAAUCCUGGUCGGACAUCAGGAGGUUAGUGCAAUGGCAUAAGCCAGCUUGACUGCGAGCGUGACGGCGCGAGCAGGUGCGAAAGCAGGUCAUAGUGAUCCGGUGGUUCUGAAUGGAAGGGCCAUCGCUCAACGGAUAAAAGGUACUCCGGGGAUAACAGGCUGAUACCGCCCAAGAGUUCAUAUCGACGGCGGUGUUUGGCACCUCGAUGUCGGCUCAUCACAUCCUGGGGCUGAAGUAGGUCCCAAGGGUAUGGCUGUUCGCCAUUUAAAGUGGUACGCGAGCUGGGUUUAGAACGUCGUGAGACAGUUCGGUCCCUAUCUGCCGUGGGCGCUGGAGAACUGAGGGGGGCUGCUCCUAGUACGAGAGGACCGGAGUGGACGCAUCACUGGUGUUCGGGUUGUCAUGCCAAUGGCACUGCCCGGUAGCUAAAUGCGGAAGAGAUAAGUGCUGAAAGCAUCUAAGCACGAAACUUGCCCCGAGAUGAGUUCUCCCUGACUCCUUGAGAGUCCUGAAGGAACGUUGAAGACGACGACGUUGAUAGGCCGGGUGUGUAAGCGCAGCGAUGCGUUGAGCUAACCGGUACUAAUGAACCGUGAGGCUUAACCUU
RNAcentral lists this ribosomal RNA (2904 nucleotides) under Escherichia coli. Its description in RNAcentral is "23S ribosomal RNA". It matches the Rfam family "Bacterial large subunit ribosomal RNA". The record is from RNAcentral. Lineage: Bacteria; Pseudomonadati; Pseudomonadota; Gammaproteobacteria; Enterobacterales; Enterobacteriaceae.